Molecule: ribosomal RNA, 478 nt
Filed under: uncultured bacterium
Lineage: Bacteria
Description: partial 16S ribosomal RNA
Rfam family: Bacterial small subunit ribosomal RNA
Source: RNAcentral
GAUGAACGCUAGCGGCAGGCUUAACACAUGCAAGUCGAGGGGUAUUUAUCUUCGGAUAGAGAGACCGGCGCACGGGUGCGUAACGCGUAUGCAAUCUACCUUUUACAGAGGGAUAGCCCAGAGAAAUUUGGAUUAAAACCUCAUAGUAUAUAGACUCGGCAUCGAGAUUAUAUUAAAGUCACAACGGUAAAAGAUGAGCAUGCGUCCCAUUAGCUAGUUGGUAAGGUAACGGCUUACCAAGGCUACGAUGGGUAGGGGUCCUGAGAGGGAGAUCCCCCACACUGGUACUGAGACACGGACCAGACUCCUACGGGAGGCAGCAGUGAGGAAUAUUGGACAAUGGGCGCAAGCCUGAUCCAGCCAUGCCGCGUGCAGGAUGACGGUCCUAUGGAUUGUAAACUGCUUUUAUACGAGAAGAAACACUGCUACGUGUAGCAGCUUGACGGUAUCGUAAGAAUAAGGAUCGGCUAACUCCGUG